Molecule: ribosomal RNA, 253 nt
Filed under: uncultured bacterium
Lineage: Bacteria
Description: partial 16S ribosomal RNA
Rfam family: Bacterial small subunit ribosomal RNA
Source: RNAcentral
GACGGAGGAUGCAAGCGUUAUCCGGAAUGAUUGGGCGUAAAGCGUCCGCAGGUGGCAGUUCAAGUCUGCUGUCAAAGACCGGGGCUUAACUUCGGAAAGGCAGUGGAAACUGAACAGCUAGAGUAUGGUAGGGGCAGAGGGAAUUCCUGGUGUAGCGGUGAAAUGCGUAGAGAUCAGGAAGAACAUCGGUGGCGAAGGCGCUCUGCUGGACCAUAACUGACACUCAGGGACGAAAGCUAGGGGAGCAAACAGG